CAUCAGGCCGUGGGGUCGCUCGCAAGGCAGGAAGAGUCAGACCCAGAAUAAAACAGCACACUUCUUCUAUUCUCUCGACAUGGCUCUGACCUCUGACAGCAGCGUUCUUCUUGGAGGUUCCUGGCACGGCGAGUGAAGCCCCCCUCCCCCGCCCCAGCCAGCUCACCCCCAGCACCAUCGUGGAGGAGGUAUCUAAGGGGUGCUAUGCUGAUUCUGGCCAAGGGAAGUCAGAAACCCCAGCACUGGCCCUGGUGGACAGUGGUUUUACGUCUUCUGGACCCUUUGUCGACGAUCUCAACUGCGGGAGGGCAAAACGUGACAUUCAGCCCCCUUCCCAACAGCGCAGCUCCCCAGUUAUCGAGUGUGUGACGCCUCUGUGUGUGAGCGACACGUCGGAGGGGCCCUGUGCUGCAUGGCGGUGAUUUCCAGGGC
This 432-nucleotide long non-coding RNA is filed under the name Scleropages formosus (Asian bonytongue). RNAcentral's name for it is "lncRNA (ENSSFOG00015026644.1)". Lineage: Eukaryota; Metazoa; Chordata; Actinopteri; Osteoglossiformes; Osteoglossidae. The record is from RNAcentral.